GCCGGCAGCUGGCUCUCUGCAACUCUCACAUGUUCACCCACUGAAGCUAAGCAGGGCUGAGCCUGGUCAGUAACGGGAUGAGAGACCACAUGGGAAAGCUAGGUUGCUGUCGGAA
Ribosomal RNA from Danio rerio (zebrafish), 115 nucleotides. The record is from Ensembl. NCBI's taxonomy places the organism in Eukaryota, Metazoa, Chordata, Actinopteri, Cypriniformes, Danionidae.